This 793-nucleotide long non-coding RNA is filed under the name Nicotiana tabacum (common tobacco). RNAcentral's name for it is "long non-coding RNA (NTAB_LNC000229)". Lineage: Eukaryota; Viridiplantae; Streptophyta; Magnoliopsida; Solanales; Solanaceae. The record is from RNAcentral.
GGGUCCACUAGUAAAGAGUUUGAUACUACUCCAUCUCCAUAUGUUAGAACUGUGGGUGAAGCUGACUCAAGAGAGCAGAUGAAAAAGUGAAAAACUGGCUACCAAAAUUGGACCCCACUACGGAAUCAACGUUUUUAUCCUUUUAAAUGCAAAUCCAAAUUUUCACUCGUUUCCUAUAAAUUAAUAUCUGAUUAUACCACCUUCAAAACCAUCUUCUAUCUCCUCCCUCUCAAGCAUUGUGCAGUUGUGGGGGUUGUAUUCCGCACUGAUUAAGGUUUGUUUUCCUGAUCUUGUCUUGAGAUGGGUUUUUCUUCUUUUCCUCACUGCUUAAAAAUUUUGAAAUUUGUCUGUCUAUGUUUUGUUUUUCUGUUUUGUUGGAUGUUGUCACUGAGGGAAACUUUAUCUGUUGUACAUUUAGUCAGACUGAUGUUUGUUUGUUCUUUUCUACAGGUGGUUCUUUGAGUUUGGCCUGUUUUUCCUGUGAGACAUUCUUGUGAAAUGGUACUUGUUCUUGAAUAUUUUUGCUCCUUUGUUUGUUAAACCUUUAGCAUGUUGUAGAAAUUCAAUCUUUGCUGUAAAAAUCCAAUCUUGAUUGCUAUUACAAAACUGAAAUUUUGGGGCAACUCAACGAUUCUUAGAUAACCGUUGACCUUAAAUAUUGCCAAUCUUGUGUUGUUUAUAGGACUGACUGCCCUUGAACUGUUGAUUUUGUGUUAUAUCAACACAAAAGAUCAAGAUGAGUGAAACUAAGCCAGAAACACCAGUAAAUCCACCUUCUAUUUCAAGAAAGCUU